GCUGGCCGGUCCCAGAUGUGGUGGUUGAGGUAGACGAGUAGCGACGCCGAGACGGGCGCCAAGAUGCUCAUGGCAGUUUCUGGCGCAGCUAGCCAAACGCAAUUAUCCGCACUCGCUUUCUGUGCACUAGUGGUGGUGGCGGCCGUGUCCUUGUCGGCUCGCUCGGCAGUCCGUCGUCCCCGCUCAAAUUGGAAGCUUUCCGGUGGUUACGCGGUACGGGCGGGGCGGCGGCGUCAUAUCUCUUUUCGAGGCACGACGAGGCGGUUGGAGGCUUGGAGCGUGUGAUUUGCAAGAGGACAGGACAGGACAGGAGAACGCCCAAGUUGAGGUUUGAGCGGCACACGUCGAUGAGAUUUUCUAGAAAUUCUGUUGAGGCAGUUAGCUGCUGGUGUCCAAUGCAGGUACCUUCUCAAACAGUGCCGUCCCAUCUAGCCACUCUAUGUCUUGAAUUUUUGUAUGAUUAGAGUAUCUAGCUGCAGUAUGAUAAACUUAGUUACUUAAAAUCUACAUCACUAAACAGUAAGCGGUUUUGAUUCUAGAAACUAAUUUUUGGUCCCUCUAUUUUAUUCUAUCAAUGGAGGAUGGCUGGCGGUCGAGACUGAAACCACGACGGCGGAGUGAACCAGCGAGGUAUAGUGUCACCGCACCUCGUCCUCGUCUUUGGUACCAUACUGCAGCUGGAGCUUAUUUUCGUUUCCUUGCAACUUCCGCAAGCUCUCCGUCCGGUGGGUGGGUGCCGAUGCCUGUACUCCCCGGGCUUCAUGUCGAUUCAGGCGCUUGAGCUUGCUUUCCCGAACACAAAUGUUCAGUUUGCUAAUUACCUGGUUCGUUGUUUCUGUACAAAUAGAGUUUGGGUGAAGUCUGUUCACCAUGACACUCAGUUAUGGUAUUUGUGCCUUUUGACUAUUGGUUUGUUUGGUGUGAGAGUUGUAUUAUGAUGAAUACACAAUGUGAAGUUACAUAUUUGAUUCUGAGAAGCUUUAAUGUUGUAAAUAGCAAGUAUGUCCUUUUUACCAUUUUUGCCAGUAUUCAAGGAACCAUCAGAUCAGUGUGAAUGAGUUGUAUACGUAGGGAGUAAUCUGUAGAUUG
RNAcentral lists this long non-coding RNA (1089 nucleotides) under Zea mays. RNAcentral describes it as "long non-coding RNA (ZMAY_LNC004615)". The record is from RNAcentral. Lineage: Eukaryota; Viridiplantae; Streptophyta; Magnoliopsida; Poales; Poaceae.